UUAAAAUGAGAGUUUGAUCCUGGCUCAGGACGAACGCUGGCGGCGUGCCUAAUACAUGCAAGUCGAACGAAACUUUCUUACACCGAAUGCUUGCAUUCAUCGUAAGAAGUUGAGUGGCGGACGGGUGAGUAACACGUGGGUAACCUGCCUAAAAGAAGGGGAUAACACUUGGAAAUAGGUGCUAAUACCGUAUAUCUCUAAAGAUCGCAUGAUCUUUAGAUGAAAGAUGGUUCUGCUAUCGCUUUUAGAUGGACCCGCGGCGUAUUAACUAGUUGGUG
RNAcentral lists this ribosomal RNA (278 nucleotides) under Ligilactobacillus salivarius. RNAcentral's name for it is "partial 16S ribosomal RNA". It matches the Rfam family "Bacterial small subunit ribosomal RNA", at positions 1 to 254 of the family's 1533-position model. Lineage: Bacteria; Bacillati; Bacillota; Bacilli; Lactobacillales; Lactobacillaceae. The record is from RNAcentral.